RNAcentral lists this ribosomal RNA (484 nucleotides) under uncultured bacterium. RNAcentral describes it as "partial 16S ribosomal RNA". It matches the Rfam family "Bacterial small subunit ribosomal RNA", at positions 28 to 523 of the family's 1533-position model. The record is from RNAcentral.
GAUGAACGCUGGCGGCGUGCUUAACACAUGCAAGUCGAACGGUGAAGCAGGAGCUUGCUCUUGUGGAUCAGUGGCGAACGGGUGAGUAACACGUGAGCAACCUGCCCCUGACUCUGGGAUAAGCGCUGGAAACGGCGUCUAAUACUGGAUAUGUGAUGUGACCGCAUGGUCUGCAUCUGGAAAGAAUUUCGGUUGGGGAUGGGCUCGCGGCCUAUCAGCUUGUUGGUGAGGUAAUGGCUCACCAAGGCGUCGACGGGUAGCCGGCCUGAGAGGGUGACCGGCCACACUGGGACUGAGACACGGCACCGACUCCUACGGGAGGCAGCAGUGGGGAAUAUUGCACAAUGGGCGGAAGCCUGAUGCAGCAACGCCGCGUGGGGGAUGAAGGCCUUCGGGUUGUAAACCUCUUUUAGCAGGGAAGAAGCGAAAGUGACGGUACCUGCAGAAAAAGCACCGGCUAACUACGUGCCAGCAGCCGCCGUAA